RNAcentral lists this ribosomal RNA (390 nucleotides) under uncultured bacterium. RNAcentral's name for it is "bacterial SSU rRNA". It matches the Rfam family "Bacterial small subunit ribosomal RNA", at positions 28 to 419 of the family's 1533-position model. The record is from RNAcentral.
GACGAACGCUGGCGGCGUGCUUAACACAUGCAAGUCGAGCGGUAAGGCCCUUUCGGGGGUACACGAGCGGCGAACGGGUGAGUAACACGUGGGUGACCUGCCCUCAGCUCUGGGAUAAGCCUGGGAAACUGGGUCUAAUACUGGAUAUGACUCCACGGUGCAUGUCGUGGGGUGGAAAGCCUUGUGCGGCUGAGGAUGGGCCCGCGGCCUAUCAGCUUGUUGGUGGGGUGANGGCCUACCAAGGCGACGAUCCGUAGCCGGCCUGAGAGGGCGGUCGGCCACACUGACACUGACAUACGGGUCAGACUCCUACGGGAGGCAGCAGUCGGGAAUUUUGGGCAAUGGGCGAAAGCCUGACCCAGCAACGCCGCGUGAAGGAUGAAAUCCCUC